GGAUGUGGGGCAAUCUGGUUGCAACAUCUGUCACCCCAUUGAUCACCAGGAUUGGUUCAGCUGAUCUGGCUGGCUAGGCAAGUAUCCCCUUCUUCCCUCAAUGCUCCACAUGCAUCCCUCCCAAAGCUGCAAGAGGAAGAGCUUCCCCAGCAGAGGAGGACCCAUCUUCAGUCAAAGGUAUACAAGUAGCUGCAUCCCCCUGUUAGAACUCCAAACAAGCUCUCAUUUUUAUUGUUAAUGAAGUUCUUCUCUGGAUUUUAAAGGGAAUCCUCUCCUUCCCUUUAAGGCCCCACCAUGUUUUCCUGUCUGAUAUGCUGUGCCAUUUU
Molecule: small nuclear RNA, 326 nt
Filed under: Peromyscus maniculatus bairdii (prairie deer mouse)
Lineage: Eukaryota; Metazoa; Chordata; Mammalia; Rodentia; Cricetidae
Description: 7SK RNA (ENSPEMG00000003837.2)
Rfam family: 7SK RNA
About the family: 7SK was discovered as an abundant small nuclear RNA in the mid-70s but a possible function has only recently been suggested. Two independent studies have found that 7SK RNA binds the CDK9/cyclin T complex (known as elongation factor P-TEFb).
Source: RNAcentral